This 22-nucleotide non-coding RNA is filed under the name Mus musculus (house mouse). The record is from RNAcentral. Lineage: Eukaryota; Metazoa; Chordata; Mammalia; Rodentia; Muridae.
UGGAUGCAAAGCUACCUACCCC